Molecule: ribosomal RNA, 497 nt
Filed under: uncultured bacterium
Lineage: Bacteria
Description: partial 16S ribosomal RNA
Rfam family: Bacterial small subunit ribosomal RNA
Source: RNAcentral
GAUGAACGCUGGCGGCGUGCCUAAUACAUGCAAGUCGAGCGAACGGACGAGAAGGUUUCUUCUCUGAUGGUAGCGGCGGACGUGUUAGUAACACGUGUAUAACCUACCUAUAAGACUGGAAUAAAUUCGUGAAACCGUAGCUAAUACCGGAUAAUAAUUUGAACCGCAUGGUUCAAAAGUUAAAGACGGUCUUGCUGUCGCUUAUAGAUUGAUCCGCGCGGCAUUAGCUAGUUGGUAAGGUAACGGCUUACCAAGUCAACGAUGCAUAGCCGACCUGAGAGGGUGAUCAGCCACACUGGAACUGAGACACGGUCCAGACUCCUACGGGAGGCAGCAGUAGGGAAUUUUCCGCAAUGGGCGAAAGCCUGACGGAGCAACGCCGCGUGAGUGAUGAAGGUCUUCGGAUCGUAAAAUUCUGUUAUUAGGGAAGAACAUAUGUGUAAGUAACUGUGAACAUCUUGACGGUACCUAAUCAGAAAGCAACGGCUAACUACGUG